This 500-nucleotide ribosomal RNA is filed under the name uncultured bacterium. Its description in RNAcentral is "partial 16S ribosomal RNA". It matches the Rfam family "Bacterial small subunit ribosomal RNA", at positions 30 to 523 of the family's 1533-position model. The record is from RNAcentral.
AUUGAACGCUGGCGGCAUGCUUUACACAUGCAAGUCGAACGGUAACAGGGUGCUUGCACCGCUGACGAGUGGCGAACGGGUGAGUAAUGCGUCGGAACGUGCCGAGUAGUGGGGGAUAACGCAGCGAAAGUUGUGCUAAUACCGCAUUCGUACUGAGGUAGAAAGUGGGGGACCUUCGGGCCUCACGCUAUUCGAGCGGCCGACGUCUGAUUAGCUAGUAGGUGAGGUAAAGGCUCACCUAGGCGACGAUCAGUAGCGGGUCUGAGAGGAUGAUCCGACACACUGGGACUGAGACACGGCCCAGACUCCUACGGGAGGCAGCAGUGGGGAAUUUUGGACAAUGGGCGGAAGCCUGAUCCAGCCAUGCCGCGUGUCUGAAGAAGGCAGUCGGGUUGUAAAGGACUUUUGUCAGGGAGGAAAUCCCUAGUGCUAAUAACACUGGGGGAUGACAGUACCUGAAGAAUAAGCACCGGCUAACUACGUGCCAGCCGCCGCGGUAA